This is a long non-coding RNA of Lycium barbarum (goji berry), 2794 nucleotides long. RefSeq lists it as uncharacterized. The transcript has 4 exons. The record is from RefSeq and is a predicted model, not a curated record. NCBI's taxonomy places the organism in Eukaryota, Viridiplantae, Streptophyta, Magnoliopsida, Solanales, Solanaceae.
UGUGUAUAAUUAAAAUGGGUGGGGUGUUUUGAUUGGUUGAAUUUUCGACGUAGGAUGCGAAUUGACAUUCACACGCAAGGCUAAAAACAUUAAACUCACCAUAUAUGUUAUGUAAGUCGGAUUGUGUUUGAUAGACACACUUAAGGUCAAAUUCAGGGGUUCAAUAGGAACAACACUUAGUUGAGGUGCCAAAAUGGAAAAAAGGGACGAGUUUGGCCCCAUACCCUACUACAAUUCUUAUUCAAUAUAAUACUCCCUCCGUCCCAAUUUAAGUGUCUUACUUUUCUUUUUGGUCUGUCCCAAAAAGAAUGCCUCUUUCUAUAUUUAGUAAGUUUUCCAAUCCCAAGACAAAUUUAAGACUGCAACAUUUAAAAGACUACACACAUCUUUUAUUUAAGACCACAAGAUUCAAAAGUCUCUCUUUAUUUCUUAAACUGCGUGCUCAGUCAAACUGAGACACUUAAAUUGGGACGGAGGGAGUAAUAUUACUACAAUGUCGUGCCGAUGUCUCCCUUACAAAAUUGAAGAUAAGUCUUUUGAUUAGGGGGAUGACAACUGAGGUGUUUAAGAGAAGUUGCUAUAAAGAGCUAUCUCAUAUAAGGCCAGGCUUGUAGCCAAUAGAUUUAGAGUAGUGAUUAGUUUGCUUAAGGGCAUGGUAGUGGAGGGAACCAAACCAGAUGGUGUAGUAAGUCUUGGGAUAUGAAUGUUGAUUAAGUAUGUGAUACACAGUCCCGAGCAUUAUAAUUGUUUAAUAGACUUUAUUUGUCAGGCCAGUGUACUGUUAUGCCUCGAUCCCAAGCAAGUUGUAGUCGGCUAUAUGAAUCCUCAUUGACUUUGCCGAUCCAUUAAAGCUCAUGGUAGACUCAUUGUCGUGCCAGUGUAUGGAAAUUAGUUAGCAAUUUCUCCUCUAAUAAGAAUGACAAGUUACUGUUUCUAUGUAGGGGUCUUGCUGAGUUCCUGAAAUAAUUUUGACAAUGUUGAAUCAAUAAUUUAGCUUCUCAAAGGGUACUCCAGUUGGACCCUCUAAAUGGCGUGGUUUAUUUUUUGCUUUCGAAAAUGUAUGCAAGGAAUAGUAUGUGGAAUGAGAAUGAGAAACCGAGGUAACAGAGAAGAGCCUAAAGAAAGGCAGUGACAUACCCUGGUAGACGUCACAAGAUGAGUUAAAGAUGCUGAUAUUAAAGAACCACAUUCUCCUACUCAUGGAUUCAUGUUGGUCAGCCGAAAAUGGUUUGAGGUAUUAGUAGUGCAGUUAGAGGACUUUGGUCGCUUGUGGUAUAUUUCAAAAAAUGUGAUAAGGGACUCUUCUUGAUGGAGUUGGAAUGUUCAUAAUGAGGUUUCUUACAUGGAAGUGCUGCCACAAGUUUGAAUUUCUAGUAAGAUUGAGCAAACUGCAAAGACAAUGCUUCACCGUGCCGUAGUUUCUUCGCGUAGAAUAUGAGAGCAGUAACAGGCUGAGAACAAAUGAAUUUCUUAACAUUGCAAAACCAUUUGUAAGGAUUUCCUUUUCCCCGAGCUUAUACAAAGCGCCAACAAAAUGUAAACAUAUCAAGGAAAAAGGCAUCAUCCUUCAUUUCCAUGCUGAUGUUCACUAUCAGCCGCACAUCUUUAAUUUAGCUUCUCAAAGGGUACUCCAGUCGGACCUUCUAGAUGAUGUAGUUCAUUUUUUGCUUUCAAAAAUGUAUGCAAGGAAUAGUAUGUGGAAUGAGAAUGAAAAACCAAGGGAACAGAGAAGAUGAAAAACCAAGGGAACAGAGAAGGGCCUACAGAAAGGCAGUGACAUAGCCUGGUAGACGUCACAAGAUGAGUUAAAGAUGCUGAUUUUAAAGAAACCACAUUCUCCGACUCAUGGAUUCAGGUUGGUCAGCCGAAAAUGGUUUGAGGUAUUAGUGGUGCAGCUUGAGGACUUCGGUCACUUAUGGUAUAUUUUGACAAAUGUGAUAAGGUACUCUUCUUGAUGGAAUUGGAAUGUUCAAAAUGAGGUUUGUUACACGGAAGUGCUGCCACAAGUUUGAAUUUCUAGUAGGAUUGAGUAAACUGCAAAGUCAGUGCUUCACCGUGCCGUAGCUUCUCCGCCUAGAAAAUGAGAGCAGUAGCCCGCUGAGAACAAAUGAAUUUCUUAUCACUGCAAAACCAUUUGUAAGGGUACAGUUAACUCAACUCACUGUCUAAAAGAAUUGCUGGGACUAAUAGAUUACUAACUUUUCUGUUUUCUCGUUUUGAAUCAGAUAUCUUUUUCCCUGAGCUUAUACAAAAUGACAGCAAAAUGUAAAAAUAUCAAGGAAAAGGCAUCAUCAUUCAUUUCCAUGUUGAUCUUCAUUAUCAACUAGCACAUCUUUCCCAGAUUGUUUUGCAGGUAAAAAGUAUUCAGCUAGGAUGGUUGGCUAUCAGCUGGGAUUGGCAAACUCCAUUUUCUUCCUGGAGCAGUGCCGAGUCAUUAUGGUUAUCAUAUGUGUGUAUGGGUACAUCGGGGCCGAGUCCCGACUCAUAUGAUUCAGGUGUUUAUUCUUAGAGACUUUGCAGACAGUGUCCUGUGGUUAGUAUUUAAGAUGUCAUGCAUUGAGUAAAGCGACCAUGUAGGCCGAUACGUCAGCUUUACUUAAUCGGUUUUUGAUUCAUUGAGUAUCAUUCGUAAAUUUCUAUGGUUUGACGGAAAGUACUUUAUUAUAUUUUUGAUUUUUUUUAUAUAUCCAAUUUCGUUAUGUGAAUGCCAGAGGGUUCGCUCAGCUCUAAGUAAGAGUUGGGUGCCCAUCAUGCCCUAUCGGAAUUGGGGUGUGACAUUGAUGUCCCAAAUGAU